GACGAACGCUGGCGGCAUGCCUAACACAUGCAAGUCGAACGGUAAGGCUUCCUUCGGGAAGUACACGAGUGGCGAACGGGUGAGUAACACGUGGGUAGCCUACCCUUGACUGGGGGACAACCGAGGGAAACUUCGGCUAAUACCGCAUAACGUGCAUUGCCCCAAGGCGGUGUACCAAAGCUCCGGCGGUUAAGGAUGGGCCCGCGGCAGAUUAGCUUGUUGGUGAGGUAACGGCUUACCAAGGCGACGAUAUGUAGCUGGUCUGAGAGGACGAUCAGCCACACUGGAACUGAGACACGGUCCAGACUCAUACGGGAGGCAGCAGUGGGGAAUCUUGGACAAUGGGGGCAACCCUGAUCCAGCCAUGCCGCGUGUGUGAAGAAGGCCUUCGGGUUGUAAAGCACUUUCAGCAGGGAGGAAGGCUUUGGCCGAAUAGGUUGAAGUACUUGACGUUACCUGCAGAAGAAGCACCGGCUAAUUUCGUGCCAGCCGCCGCCGUAA
This 501-nucleotide ribosomal RNA is filed under the name uncultured bacterium. RNAcentral's name for it is "partial 16S ribosomal RNA". It matches the Rfam family "Bacterial small subunit ribosomal RNA", at positions 28 to 523 of the family's 1533-position model. The record is from RNAcentral.